This 474-nucleotide ribosomal RNA is filed under the name uncultured bacterium. RNAcentral's name for it is "bacterial SSU rRNA". It matches the Rfam family "Bacterial small subunit ribosomal RNA", at positions 328 to 793 of the family's 1533-position model. The record is from RNAcentral.
CGCUAUCACUCCUACGGGAGGCAGCAGUGGGGAAUAUUGCACAAUGGGGGAAACCCUGAUGCAGCCAUGCCGCGUGUGUGAAGAAGGCCUUCGGGUUGUAAAAGCACUUUCAGUAGGGAGGAAGGUAGUGUAGUUAACACCUGCAUUAUUUGACGUUACCUACAGAAGAAGCACCGGCUAACUCCGUGCCAGCAGCCGCGGUAAUACGGAGGGUGCGAGCGUUAAUCGGAAUUACUGGGCGUAAAGCGCAUGCAGGCGGCCUGUUAAGUCAGAUGUGAAAGCCCGGGGCUUAACCUCGGAAUUGCAUUUGAAACUGGCAGGCUAGAGUCUUGUAGAGGGGGUAGAAUUUCAGGUGUAGCGGUGAAAAUGCGUAGAGAUCUGAAGGAAUACCAGUGGCGAAGGCGGCCCCCUGGACAAAGACUGACGCUCAGAUGCGAAAGCGUGGGGAGCAAACAGGAUUAGAUACCCUGGUAG